GUUCAGAAAUCAGAUGCUUGGGAGCAAUGCUUCUUUUUCUUUGCUGUUGUAUUGGAAAAGAACACUAGAGAAAAGAACCAGAGCAGAGAAAGAGGCCAUCAGCAGGUACCAUCUCAACCUACGUAGAAGCAUGUAGAGGACGCCAUGGUUCACAGAGUUAAUCAGGAAAAAAUAAAUGCUGUUAAUCCCCUUAAAUGGAUCUACAUUUUUACUUCUGCCUGGUGUCUUUUUGUGCCAUUGUGGAAAUCAAAAAUAUCGUAGAUUUUAAAGCAAAUUUGAGUCUCAUCCAUUCCGUGAAGUGUCGCAGAUCCUAGGUCUUUGAAGACUUCUCGUGUCUUAUAUUGAACUGAGCCAUCCCUCCAGUGACAUCAGCUAUGGAUCAAAACAUCUCUCAAAUGACCCUCUUGGACUCUGCUGCUCACUUGCAGAGGCAACUGCAUAUGGCAUUCCUCAAGAAGCUUUCAGAAUAACCUGAGCAUUUAAGCAUCUAAGUGGAAGGGAAUCUACGAAUUUUGGAGAUCUUUCUCUCUAACAUACAAUAUCUUAAACGCACUAUGAUGAGUUCAGGCGUUAUUCGCUGUAUCUGGAACAGCCCUAUCCAGUUUUCUCACUGCAGACAGUGAGCCUGUCUUCUCAUUAGAAUACAAGGGUACCCAUAUUUAUGUAUAUAACAGAAUCUUGAAGAAUGUUUGUUAAAAAUUUAGGUUCUUGGCAUGAACUCAAACCAAUAAUAUGAGAAUUCCAGCGUCCAGGAAUCUGCCUUUCAGCAAGCUCUCCAGAUUUUUCUGAUACAAUGAUUUCAUAACCACACAUUGAUAAUCUCCUAUCUGAAGAAUGCUCGGUGUGACUGAAAAGAUCCAUCCUUUUUCUAGUGCAUACACUGAAUGUGACCUGAAGCAGAAGCUAAUCAAAGUCCAGGAAACUGAGAUAAUCAGACAUUAAAAUUAGAACCUACCUGAUGAUGGAGGACCUAAGUCUGUCUCAUUGAGUCUCCUCCUUUAGACUGGAAGUCACUCACCGAGAGAAAAG
Diceros bicornis minor is the source of this 1029-nucleotide long non-coding RNA. RefSeq lists it as uncharacterized. NCBI's taxonomy places the organism in Eukaryota, Metazoa, Chordata, Mammalia, Perissodactyla, Rhinocerotidae. The record is from RefSeq and is a predicted model, not a curated record. The transcript is spliced from 5 exons.